This 440-nucleotide ribosomal RNA is filed under the name uncultured bacterium. Its description in RNAcentral is "partial 16S ribosomal RNA". It matches the Rfam family "Bacterial small subunit ribosomal RNA", at positions 338 to 795 of the family's 1533-position model. The record is from RNAcentral.
CCUACGGGUGGCAGCAGUGGGGAAUAUUGCACAAUGGGGGAAACCCUGAUGCAGCGACGCAGCGUGAGUGAAGAAGGAUCUCGGUACGUAAAGCGCUAUCAGCAGGGAAGAAAAUGAGGGUACCUGACUAAGAAGACCCGGCUAACUACGUGCCAGCAGCCGCGGGAAUACGUAGGGGGCAAGCGUUAUCCGGAUUUACUGGGUGUAAAGGGAGCGGAGACGGCAGAACAAGUCUGGAGUGAAAGCCCGGGGCUUAACCCCGGAACUGCUUUGGAAACUGUGCGGCUGGAGGGCAGGAGGGGUAAGCGGAAUUCCUAGUGUAGCGGUGAAAUGCGUAGAUAUUAGGAGGAACACCGGUGGCGAAGGCGGCUUACUGGACUUUAACUGACGUUGAGGCUCGAAAGCGUGGGGAGCAAACAGGAUUAGAUACCCCAGUAGUC